ACCUUCGUGGUGUAGUGGUCAGCACGCUCGACGCGUAUUCGAGAGGUCCGUGGUUCGAGUCCAGGUGAAGGCA
This 73-nucleotide transfer RNA is filed under the name Stegodyphus mimosarum. It matches the Rfam family "tRNA". From Rfam's summary of the family: Transfer RNA (tRNA) molecules are approximately 80 nucleotides in length. Lineage: Eukaryota; Metazoa; Arthropoda; Arachnida; Araneae; Eresidae. The record is from Rfam by way of RNAcentral.